CCGCCUGUGCGUCCUAUCCCGAAGCGCUCCUGCCACCGCUCAGGGCGACUGUGGGUCUCAGCCCCCGGGCGCCGAGGUGUGGUCGCAUGCGUAAGCUCUGGCACCAAGUGGGUCACAAGCACAAGGUGUGUGAGGCUUCUGGGAAGUGCCCUUAAAUCUGCACAGCCCCCCACACCUGUGCCUGCUGCACGCCUGCACCUGCACACACCUGCGUGCACACACCCUCCUACACACGCCUGUGUGCACACACCCUCCUACACACACCUGCACCUGUGCACACACCCUCCUACACACACCUGCGUGCACACACCCUCCUACACACACCUGCGUGCACACACCCUCCUACACACACCUGUGUGCACACACCUUCCUACACACACCUGCACCUGCGUGCACACACCCUCCUACACACACCUGCGUGCACACACCCUCCUACACACACCUGUGUGCACACACCCUCCUACACACACCUGCGUGCACACACCUUCCUACACACACCUGUGUGCACACACCCUCCUACACACACCUGCACCUGUGCACACACCCUCCUACACACACCUGUGUGCACACACCCUCCUACACACACCUGUGUGCACACACCUUCCUACACACACCUGUGUGCACACACCCUCCUACACACACCUGCGUGCACACACCCUCCUACACACACCUGCGUGCACACACCUUCCUACACACACCUGCGUGCACACACCUUCCUACACACACCUGCACCUGCGCACACCCUCCUACACACGCCUGCGUGCACACCUGCACCUGCACACACCUGCACCUGCGUGCACACACCUUCCUACACACACCUGCGUGCACACACCUUCCUACACACACCUGCACCUGCGCACACACCUUCCUACACACACCUGCGUGCACACCUGCCCACUUGCCUUCACCUGCACACACACCUGCAUGCACACCUGCACCUGCACACACACCUGCGUGCACACCUGCACCUGCGCACACACCUGCGUGCACACACCUGUGCUCUGACAUUGGCUCCAUACCAGAGUCAUCUGGGGCUGUGGCUCUCGGUCUCUGAAUUGGCGCCCAGAUGCCCCCAUGGCUCCUCACGUGGCGCCAUCCUCAUGGGGCCCCGUGCAUAUUUUCAGCUCAAGUAGCCGCAAGGACUCUCACCGGAUCAGAGGAGAUCCUGCUUCCACUUGGC
RNAcentral lists this long non-coding RNA (1180 nucleotides) under Oryctolagus cuniculus (rabbit). RNAcentral describes it as "lncRNA (ENSOCUG00000037032.1)". The record is from RNAcentral. Lineage: Eukaryota; Metazoa; Chordata; Mammalia; Lagomorpha; Leporidae.